This 479-nucleotide ribosomal RNA is filed under the name uncultured bacterium. Its description in RNAcentral is "bacterial SSU rRNA". It matches the Rfam family "Bacterial small subunit ribosomal RNA", at positions 330 to 801 of the family's 1533-position model. The record is from RNAcentral.
UGCGAACUCCUACGGGAGGCAGCAGUGGGGAAUUUUGGACAAUGGGCGAAAGCCUGAUCCAGCAAUGCCGCGUGAGUGAAGAAGGCCUUCGGGUUGUAAAGCUCUUUUGUCAGGGAAGAAACGGUGAGGGCUAAUAUCUCUUGCUAAUGACGGUACCUGAAGAAUAAGCACCGGCUAACUACGUGCCAGCAGCCGCGGUAAUACGUAGGGUGCAAGCGUUAAUCGGAAUUACUGGGCGUAAAGCGUGCGCAGGCGGUUUUGUAAGUCUGAUGUGAAAUCCCCGGGCUCAACCUGGGAAUUGCAUUGGAGACUGCAAGGCUAGAAUCUGGCAGAGGGGGGUAGAAUUCCACGUGUAGCAGUGAAAUGCGUAGAUAUGUGGAGGAACACCGAUGGCGAAGGCAGCCCCCUGGGUCAAGAUUGACGCUCAUGCACGAAAGCGUGGGGAGCAAACAGGAUUAGAAACCCUUGUAGUCCAGAUG